RNAcentral lists this ribosomal RNA (492 nucleotides) under uncultured bacterium. RNAcentral describes it as "partial 16S ribosomal RNA". It matches the Rfam family "Bacterial small subunit ribosomal RNA", at positions 35 to 507 of the family's 1533-position model. The record is from RNAcentral.
GGGGGGGGGGGGGGGGGGGGCGGGGGGGGGGGGGGCGGGGGGCGGGGCAGUGGGGGCUUGCUCUUACGGGUGGCGAGUGGCGGACGGGUGAGGAAGACAUCGGAAUCUACUUUUUCGUGGGGGAUAACGUAGGGAAACUUACGCUAAUACCGCAUACGACCUACGGGUGAAAGCAGGGGAUCUUCGGACCUUGCGCGAUUGAAUGAGCCGAUGUCGGAUUAGCUAGUUGGCGGGGUAAAGGCCCACCAAGGCGACGAUCCGUAGCUGGUCUGAGAGGAUGAACCGGCCCCCUUGAACCUGGGACACGGUCAAACCCCCUCGGGGAGGCAGCGUGGGGAAUAUUUGACCAAGGGCGGAAACCUGAUCCCGCCCUACCCGGUGGGGGAAGGAGGGCUUUCGGUUGUAAAGCCCUUUUGUUGGGAAAGAAAAGCAGCAGGUUAAUACCCCGCUGUUCUGACGGUACCCAAAGAAUAAGCACCGGCUAACUUCGUG